Molecule: transfer RNA, 112 nt
Filed under: Candidatus Cloacimonadota bacterium
Lineage: Bacteria; Pseudomonadati; Candidatus Cloacimonadota
Description: tRNA-OTHER
Source: RNAcentral
GGGACUGUUUGGACGUGGAGAAACCUGGCAAGCGGCAGGUUGUUGAGUAAUUUCGAGUGUUUUUUUAUAGGAGUUCUCGCAAAGGGGGGUUCGAUUCCCCCCGGUCCCACCA